AAUUUGUUAGUUUUCAAUGAGAAAAAUGCAAUGCUUAAUGGACCCUACAGAUACCAGAACCACUAUAGCUUAAUGUAGUUAUUCUAGUGUUUAUACCCUGUACAUGCAGACCUUUCAACAUAAACACUGUCUGCAGCACCUACGUUCAGCGUCUCUACGCUGUGCCUGGAGGCGUUGAAUGUUCCCCAUGGAGAUCAUUGAUUAAAAACAUCUGUAU
Molecule: non-coding RNA, 217 nt
Organism: Pelobates cultripes (western spadefoot toad)
Lineage: Eukaryota; Metazoa; Chordata; Amphibia; Anura; Pelobatidae
Source: the annotation of a GenBank genome assembly